This 120-nucleotide ribosomal RNA is filed under the name Helianthus annuus (common sunflower). Lineage: Eukaryota; Viridiplantae; Streptophyta; Magnoliopsida; Asterales; Asteraceae. The record is from RNAcentral.
GGUUGCCAUCAUACCAGCACUAAUGCACCGGAUCCCAUCAGAACUCCGCAGUUAAGCGUGCUUGGGCGAGAGUAGUACUAGGAUGGGUGACCCCCUGGGAAGUCCUCGUGUUGCAACCCC